CAAGUGAAGUGGAACAGUGGAAAGUAGGUACCAGAUUUGAAAAGGCUUGGGAGUAGGUAUGCAGUGGGUGGUGCUCAUGUUGUACAGGCAGGGCAGUGGCAAUUCUGGGUCCAUCUUGGUUUGUUUUGUGUGGAAGCGUCUGUACUUCUUAAAGUUUUUCUCAUGCUCUUGGAACCAAACAAAUGUGGGUCUGACUUCUGAUUCCCCCAUCAACUGGCUUUGUGUCUUUGGGCAAAUCCUGUCCUAACCUCAUUUCUUCAUCUGUAAAGUGGGGGUUGUGCCUACCUUGAAGAGUGGUUUUAAGGAUUAGAGAUAACAUAUGCAAAAUCCUCUCUAGGAUAUUAGCAGGCUCUUAGACAGAAACAGCAAUUUUACAAGUUGUUAUUGUCUAUUCUCCGCUGCAAGAAAGGUCCUAUUCUUGUCGGGGACAUGUCCCUUGGGUCACUUCCUUUGAUCUCCCCAGGUUUUCCUCUGAGGGUACCAUCCUCCCCACUCCCUAGGCUAUUUUUCAGAGCUCCAGACUUGCCUCCUGUAUGAAGACCAGCCUGAUCCUUCCAGCAAAUGACCCCCCUAUGAACAUUCUGAGAAGCAGGUUCAACUCUCUUAAGCCACUUAUUGCAUUCUGCAUAGUAGAAUAAGUGUUAGUGUUCACAAUCCACUCUUUCUGUUAGAAAAUAAGCCCUUGGAAGUUUGAGAGCCUUCAAGCCUCUUGCAACCAGCUCUGACACCAGGUGGUGAUCAUACUCCCUGGCAGCAGUUAUCAUCCCAAGUACUAGAGGGCAGAGACUGGGCUUCUUCCUCUCCAGCACUUGGGGUGCCCUGUACAUGUGAAACACUCAACUGACUGACCACGUGAUCCCAGGAGAGCAGUGAGGAUGCUCCUGAUACAGAAGAGCGGAAAAUCCCUUUGGAGCAGAACCAAGGCUUUCCUGUGCCUCACUGAUCCUCUCUGUUCCUGCCAGUCUAACUGACCUGCAAAGCCUUUGCACUAGAGCUCCUCCUGCCAAACCUAUUCCAUGUGUGAGAAACUCUAUUUUCCUAUGGUAUCCUAUACCCUGAUGACCCUUCCCACAUUCUACCUUGUAUUACGAUAAACUUGUAUACAUGUUUUUGUCCUAAUCAGCCUGUAAGCACCUUGACUGCUCUGUCUUCAUGGUUUAAAGAAUAUCUUACAUGUGCACAACCACUUCAUCUGUUGCCUCACUUGACCCUCACAAUGGAGCUGUGAGGGAGGUACUUUCUGCUGGAGACAGACAUGGAGCAGGGAACUGAUUUGCUGUCUCUCAGCAAUAAAGGUUUACUGCAUGAAUAAGGAUGACAAAUGAGAAUUCUGGACUGUCCCCCCCGGCUCCUGAAUAAUCCCAGGCAUUCAAGAAUACUUCUCUUCUGCUAUUACAAUGAAUUACAUGUGGAGCUAUGAGGACUUCGGGCUUGAACAGUUGCCGUAGAGCUCUCCGUCUUGCUGGAAGGGCUUCUUCCAGGCCUUGGUCAGGAGGCUCCCUGGGUGCUACAUACAGGAUUUUUUUUGAGGAUAUGGAGAUGCGCAGGACACGAUCCCAGCAAUCCAGGUGCUUACAGGCUGAUUGUACAGCCAUGCACACAGAGUGCCACGAUGCAAAAUAGGAUGUGGUAAGGGUCAUGCAGUUCAGAGGAGAAAGCAAGUGUGGCUGAUGAACAUCACGGAGCAGUGACCUUCAUGGACAGACAGAAUUUGAGCUGGCCCUUUAACCAAUGAGGAGGAUUCAAACAGAGUUUGUAUUAUCCUGAAAAGAAAUUCCACUAAAGAUGAAUAGCAGAGAACUGUGUUCAGGUAAGCUGAAUUAAUUCCUUUCUCUGGGGAGUUAUAUUAUCACCUUGAUAUAGCUAGUUUCACUUGUUUCUAUUUCAACAUUUGUUUUUAUCCCGUCUUCACUCCUCCCCUUCCCUACUGCCACCACCCUACCUCGAGGCGCAUCCUCUCUCACCUGGACUACUGCAGGAGUUCUGUCUCUUGGCUUUAACUCCAGCCCGUUGAAAAUUCUGAAUGAUUUUUACAAAAUGCAACUCAGAUCCCGUCAUCCCCUGAUUAAAGUCCUUCAGCUUUGUUACCAUGACCUACAAGGCUCUAUAUGAGCCAAGGUCUGACUCUAGCCUCAUUUCCUGCCCUUCUCCCUUGGCACAUUGACCUCUUUUUUGUUCUUCCAAGACCCAAACUUUAACCUC
This 2202-nucleotide long non-coding RNA is filed under the name Homo sapiens (human). RNAcentral describes it as "HSALNT0290949". The record is from RNAcentral. Lineage: Eukaryota; Metazoa; Chordata; Mammalia; Primates; Hominidae.